Molecule: unclassified non-coding RNA, 330 nt
Filed under: soil metagenome
Description: partial contains 5.8S ribosomal RNA, internal transcribed spacer 2, and large subunit ribosomal RNA
Rfam family: 5.8S ribosomal RNA (bases 1-120)
Source: RNAcentral
GAUGAAGAACGUAGCGAAAUGCGAUAAGUAAUGUGAAUUGCAGAAUUCAGUGAAUCGUCGAAUCUUUGAACGCACAUUGCGCCCCUUGGUAUUCCGAGGGGCAUGCCUGUUCGAGCGUCAUUUCAACCCUCAAGCACAGCUUGGUCUUGGGCUUCGCCGCUAACCCGGCGGGUCUUAAAAUCAGUGGCGGUGCCGUCGGGCCCUGAGCGCAGUAAUCUCUCUCGCUAUAGGGUCCCGGCGGAUGCUGGCCAGUAACCCCCAAUUUUCUAUGGUUGACCUCGGAUCAGGUAGGGAUACCCGCUGAACUUAAGCAUAUCAAUAAGCGGAGGA